This 368-nucleotide long non-coding RNA is filed under the name Mytilus galloprovincialis (Mediterranean mussel). Lineage: Eukaryota; Metazoa; Mollusca; Bivalvia; Mytilida; Mytilidae. The record is from RNAcentral.
UUUCUAUUGUCUAUAUUCUAGUUUCAUAUGUCUCUUUGACAUGUCCCAUUUCUAUUGUCUCUAUUCUAUUUUCAUGUAUGUCUCUUUGACAUAUCUCAUUUCUAUUGUCUAUAUUCUGUUUUCAUAUUUUUUGUCUCUUUGACAUACCCCAUUUUUAUUGUCUAUAAUCUAUUUUCUAUGUUUGCCUCUUUGGCAUACCCUAAUUCUAUUGUCUAUAUUCUAUUUUCACAUGUUUGUCUCUAUGACAUAUCACAUUUCUAUUGUCUAUAUUUUUUUUGCAAAUGUUUGUCUCUGUGACUUACACCAAUUCUAUUGUCUUUAUUCUAUUUUCCUCUGAUGUAUGUGAUAUUUCUAAUGUCUAUAUUCUA